UGGCCCAGGGAACCAGCUGGGGCUUCCCCUCUGCAGAGGCUCUAACUGGCUUUCCCUGCAG
Molecule: microRNA precursor, 61 nt
Organism: Aotus nancymaae (Ma's night monkey)
Lineage: Eukaryota; Metazoa; Chordata; Mammalia; Primates; Aotidae
Source: Ensembl